AAUGGGGGAAUACAAAUUGGGGCUGGAGGUGGCAUCUCUCCAGAUACGAGGAGUCCAAUGCAAAAGCUUCUCUUUAAGAAUGAAUAAUAAAAGGGUCAGAGGGGCUGCGUGCCUUCAACUUUCUUCAGAGACCCGGCAGAACAAAACUGGGACCCCCAAAUGGGACAAUUGUGAAGACUUUUAUGAAGAGCCAAUUCAAAGACAUGUGAGUGGAACAAAGAAGAACCAGUGAGGGCCAAUGAGUCAUCCCCAGGUUAGGAGCUGUGUGGGACCCAGAGGAGCUUGGGGAGAUAAUGGUCAUCAGAGCUCAGCUGGACCAGCAGGACAAGACCACUGCAGACAGCACAGUGGCAUCCAGUGAAGACUGCAGCCACUGUCAGCCCACGCCAAUGAGGAAGGAGAUGGGCAGACACCCAGUGCUCACCUUCCUCUGCCUUCUGAUCUCCUGCCAGUGCCUCCCAUGGGCUGAAAGCCCCAGAAACCAGACAGCAAAAGAGUCCAUGCUGUGCUCCAUGCAGGUCAGCCUGUCAGGCACAGGGCAGAGUGAACCAGACAGCAAGGCAGUCCAUGCUGUGCUCCAUGCAGGCCAGCCUCUCAGGCACAGGGCAGAGUGAACCAGACAGCAAGGCAGUCCAUGCUGUGCUCCAUGCAGGUCAGCCUCUCAGGCACAGGGCAGAGUGGAGAAGGCAUCUGGAGGCACAAAUGGGGAGUCCCCUCCAGAUGCCUCUGGGAAGCUGCAGUGAUUCCCUCUGGCGACGUGUGAGCGUUUCCAUUGCUCCACACCUCACAACACUCAACAUUAUUGCUGGCUUGACAGAUGCCUUCACAUUUUUCAACCUGAUUGGCAUGGCUACUGCCUCACUGUGCAGGUAAUUUUCCAUGUGUCCCUGAUCAUUCCUAAAAUUCCUCAUCCGUUCAGUCUCAUUGGCUCUCCCAGGGCCCUCUCUGAGCUUGCCUAUUCAUACCUUUUACCCAUUUUCCUUUUGGUAUUGAUACUUUUUCAUUCAUUUUUAAGAGGUCUCUACAUUUUCUCGAUACUACUUAGCCAUUCUUUUCAAUAUCAUCAAGUUACGGCACAGGUACCCAACAUUUUUGUAAGUUUCAAGAAAAAGACACAAAACCUAAUUUUCUCAAAUAAAGUGACAUUAUUCUUUUAA
This is a long non-coding RNA of Homo sapiens (human), 1157 nucleotides long. NCBI's taxonomy places the organism in Eukaryota, Metazoa, Chordata, Mammalia, Primates, Hominidae. The record is from Ensembl.